UACGGAGGGUGCAAGCGUUUAUCCGGAUUUACUGGGUUUAAAGGGUGUGUAGGCGGGCCAUUAAGUCAGGGGUGAAAUCCCGGAGCUCAACUCCGGAACUGCCUUUGAUACUAUUGGUCUUGAAUGUUGUUGAGGUGGGCGGAACGGGUCAUGUAGCGGUGAAAUGCAUAGAUAUGACCCGGAACACCGAUUGACGAAGGCAGCCCGCUAAGCAACUAUUGACGCGAGGCACGAAAGCGUGGGGAUCAAACAGG
This 254-nucleotide ribosomal RNA is filed under the name uncultured bacterium. RNAcentral describes it as "partial 16S ribosomal RNA". It matches the Rfam family "Bacterial small subunit ribosomal RNA", at positions 524 to 776 of the family's 1533-position model. The record is from RNAcentral.